RNAcentral lists this ribosomal RNA (1707 nucleotides) under Triticum aestivum (bread wheat). RNAcentral's name for it is "partial small subunit ribosomal RNA". The record is from RNAcentral. Lineage: Eukaryota; Viridiplantae; Streptophyta; Magnoliopsida; Poales; Poaceae.
AUGACCGACCGGCAACGGUCCACGCACGGACCCGUCCCCGCGUCUUUGGCUACUUCAAAUAUUCCACCUGUGGACUCGCUCUGGGGAGCACGACUACUUUUCUUCCUAGUGACCGUCCAAUACAACUCUCUGGCGGAGGCCGGGGUGGAGCAAAGGAGAAACGGGCCUUGGAUCAAGAUGAAUCCCACGGCUGAGCGGGUGCUCACCGGCGGUGUGCGUUCGAUGUCCCUGGGGAGCCCCAGGUCUCCGCCGCUCUCCUACGGGAGCAUCGUCACCGUGCUUAGCAUCGAGGGGGGCGGCGUGCGUGGAUCAUCCCCGGCACCAUCCUCACCUUCUUCAACCAUCGUCGCCAGUAGCGAUGCGAAUCUUCCCGAAGAUACCAUUCCACCAAGGGAACGGUACUCUGAUGUUCACGGCCCUGAGGAGCGCCUCGGCCUUCCGGUGCUCCUGCUCCUCGGCCCUGGAAACUAUCUUGAUUGUGAUUCCGACCAGAGGUUAAUCAUGUGGUCUUGGAUUGCACACACUAUUCCACAAGACACAAGAGUGAUCAUGAUGUCCAUGCCCAGCCAGCCUAGGGCCGGCCUGGUCAGCCAAUUGGAUAAGAAGCAAGCGGCCAGGGAUAGCGAUCCCCUGCCAGCAUCCAUCCCCAAUCCCCACGACCGACGCGGGCGGCGAUUGCCAUUCCGGUCAGCCGUUUCUCCUGCAACUCGUGGAGAGACCACGACCCAGGCGGAGCGCCGUCGAGCCUCGCGUUGGAGGCCGGAGAAGGCUGUGCCAGAGGACUCCGGGGAGGGCGUGCCGGCCCGAUUAGGCACAGGCGAAGACGCCCACGGCCGGUCGGCCGCACCACCGGCGGCAAGAGGAUCUCCCGCCUCGCUCGUCCUCGGAGUAGGAGUCACCGGAGAGGUGGGUGCCGGGUACGACGCCGUUGGAAGCGCCAUUCGCGAGCCCGAGCGCCGCUGGGCUCCAUGUGUCAGCGUCGGGGCCGAGUCGCCUCUGCGCCCGUGGGGGCAAGGCCGAUGGUCGAGCACGGGGUGUGCCGGGAGGAGCAGCGCCGGGGCCAGGAUGCCGUUGCGCCAGAUGCCCAUCGCUCGUGCGACGGAUCACGCGGCCGAGGGCGGUCUCCCACCAUUGGACGCCGAUGAGGCACCUUGCCCAUGGGGCCCGAGGGUUCGACCGCCGUCGUUCUUCGCGACGAGACUGUCCCUCAUAGAGGAAACAAAGGAAUUCAUGGCCACAGCGCGCUGUAGGGACGUCGGUCCUGAGGGCGGCCACAGCAGAAGGGAUGCAUUGAAGAGGCAUCCGUUCGGGAGAGAUGUCACGAACCGACGCAAACUGGCUGCGGUUGCUAUGGAGAUAAAGAGAUGUGGACGGGCAACCCACUGCAAGAGGAUGAGGCCGCCCACCCUUCCCCUCAAGCGUGGAUUAAAAAAAGAUGGCCCCCCUAGCUUCCAGUCGUUGACGCAUGGGUUCGCAGAAGGUGGCCGCGUCAAAAAACAACCGUGUGCGGUGUUUGGCCGGCCGACAAGUGGGGCCAUGAGGGACAUCAAGCGGACGCGCGGCACAUUCGCUUCAUGUCGCUUCAUUGAAGUUGUUCUGAGAGGUGCCAUCAUCCUCGAGGCAGCCCACUUCGCCGCCGAUGGCAUGGGCGCCAUUCGCCUCUCGAGCUACCGCAACCGGGACAUGCACGCCGUGACCUUUCUCUAG